This is an RNA transcript of Chelonia mydas (Green sea turtle), 11384 nucleotides long. RefSeq lists it as uncharacterized. The transcript is spliced from 8 exons. The record is from RefSeq and is a predicted model, not a curated record. Lineage: Eukaryota; Metazoa; Chordata; Testudines; Cheloniidae.
UCAGUUCCUGUUUCCAAUUGAGACUCAUCUCUGCCUAGGGCAAAGCCCACAGUGAAAGCUCAUUGGUCCGAGAUGCUUCAACUUCCUACACAAACAAACUUCUGCUGUAUUGCUAAAGUGAAAGAAGCAGCUUGUUGUCAUGGUGUAUUCUAAAGUCUGGAUUCAGGACAGAGGGACAGUAUUUUAGUUGCUGAUCUGUGAUGCUGACAUUGUGCUGCAUGAAGAAGUUUUCAUUUAUAACUGUUGGACUUGUGCCCAGACUGCUAUGGUAGGAUUUGGAAGAAAACACAAUAAGGAGAAGAACGUCAGAUCAAUUUUGCAGGAACAUAUGUGGGGGAAAAAGGCUUUAACAAAAGACACUUUUCAAACAGUGAAAGAACUAGACAAUGGACAAUAGUUAUGAAUCUUUAAAAAGCUAUCCUGAGUCAACCCCUAUUAUCCAUGCAGAGUCAAAAGAAUGCUUUAUCUGUCGAGAAGGAGACGAGAUGGGUCGUGACGCUCUGCUGCACUUCUGUGACUGCAAAAACUUGAUUGCUCACCAGAAGUGUGUGUUAACCUGGAUACAAAAGGGUUCUGAUAAUCAAGAUAGAGCAAGAUGCAAAGUAUGUACAGCUGAGUUGUUGCUAUGAAGGAACUAACUUUCCAUGAAGCACUGCUCCAUCAAGCACGCUGAAUUCUUUAUGUUAAAAAGCAAAGUUACCAGCUACAGAAAGGAUCAGUGUGGAGAAUCCUGUUUUGUCACUGGCAGAAUUGGCUCUUCCUCUGCUUGGUCCUGGCUGUAAUGACUAUCAUUCCUCUUGCUGUCUAUCGAAUGAUGGUAGCUUUUAAGGACCCUCCACCCAGUCCUGUAUUCCACGCAGCAGCUGUGUGCUUUGGAGUUCUUGCAGAGACUCUUCUGAUCAAAUACGUAUUGUAUUACUGCAGCAGCAAAUACAACGAGGCCAAGAUGUCUUCAUUUUCCAUCAGAGCGAGAACUGUAGAACAGUGUGAUCAAGGCGUUGGUCUUCUGUGGCCAGCCGGUCAGAACCCACCAACAGCUGUGAUGAGCAGAGCAGAGAUGGGGAAACAAGAGGCAGUCAAAGCCAAAGAAGGUUUCAGCCUGAAGCUGUGUGUAUGACUGGAGCAGAGCAAGGCCAGGACCCAAGGAAACCCCAGCAGCAAGGGAAAAAACAGAUUGACUCUCAGUGACUCAUUUAGCUCCUGGAUUGGACAGAUCUCUCCCCUGCUGGCAGUUUGGCUGAGCAUCAAUGGGACAGAUACCAGGAUGAAUAGCUUAAAAUAAUUAGGGGGCCAAUCUGCAAAACUGCUCUCAUCCAAUUCUUUACUGUGUGAUGAAAGACACAAAACAAAUUACAUUUAGAUUAUUAAAUAUUAAGUCACUGGAUUUACCUCCAUUUGGUCCAAAGCAGGAAACUGGAUAAAAUUCAAUUUUAUAUCAUUGUGUUGAUGGCCUGGUUUUCAUCAAAUGAGUGAGUGUUUUUUUGGCAGGUCAGACUCUUUGACACAUGAGGAAAAUAGGUGCUUAAUUUAAAUGAGAAUUAAUGCAAUCAUAAUUAACUCAAAUGUGAACAGAAUUAAACACAGGCAAGAGUUUAGUUUAAUGCUUAGCAGUUUAAACUAUAUGUUUUAGGACACAUCCUGCUUCAGCUGAAGACAAUGGCAGUGUUGCCACUGAAUUCAGUGGAAACUGCAGUAGGCCUUAUAGGUAGACAGGCAGGAUUCCCUGUACUUUAUAUUUAAUGCACAAAAACAGAAGCAACAAGCUCAUUUAGUAUCAGUAAAGAUCUGUUAAAAUUAUAGAAACAUCCUUUGGAGCAAAUCUUCUGCCUUGUAUUUGCAUAUUUAUGAACUAGAGAUUAUGACAGGCCAUUCCAUUUAUUAGAGCAGCGCUGCUAUAGUUAAUAGUCUGUCAGCAUUUCCAUUAUAAACCCCUUUUUUCAGUGUUUUAAUUUCUCAGCCAUUUGAAAUCACAUCAGGAUGCAACGUAGCCCUUGUGUUGUCAGGCCAGGUGCAUUUUUUAAAAAAAUUUAAAUAAAAAUAUAUUUAAAUGAGCUCAGCUGUUUCUGAUUGGGCAAAUGGCAUAAAAUCACAAAGCUUUGGGGGAUAGUAUUAUUAUUUAUUUUUUUAGGGAGAUUUUGACAAUCGCUUCUUCUUUUUCUUCUCCUUAUCUCAUCACCUGGGGUCGAGUCAUCAUGCAAGCAUCUGCCAUCUUCUUCUGUCUACCAUCUUUUUUGAUGUAAUCCAUCCAUUGCUGCCUCAGCUUUCCUCAGGGUCUCUUUCCAACCACCCUGUCCUGCCAUGCUAUCAUCCCCGAAUCCUCUUCAUUCAUCCUGUGCACAUGUCCAAAACAGCAAAGUUGCACUUCCUGGCUUUUGUCAGCCACAUCACGGACAGUGACUUCCAUCCUAAUGCUUUCAUUGCUAAAUCUGUCCCUUCAUGUAACUCUUUUUAUUAUGCAAAGACAGCUCAUCUCAAACACCUGUCAGCAUUGAACCUGCUGUAUCUUACCCAUGCUUCUGCACCAUACAGCAUUGUGGAGUACACUUGGAAUCUCAGUGUCAGUGGCGUGUGCUUAUCAUAAGCAACAUCUAGGAUGUUAUUCCACACUCAUCCAGCACUCUCCAGUCUGCACUGCAGCUCACAUUCAAGCUUGCUGUCUUCCAUAACCCAGCCACCAAGGUACUAGAACUGGUCACUCUGGUUUAGUCAUGCCCCAUUAAUCUAUAUAUCCAGUUUCCCUGUGGCACCUCUACUGACUCAUAUGACCUCCGUCUCAGUCAUGUUCCUUUUCAUCCCAUGCCUACUUAGUUGGUCAUACCACUGAUUUACUCUUUCCUCUAGGUCUUCUUUUGAGGAUGCCAUUAUUGCUAUAUCAUCUGAGUAUAGCAGCUUCUCACCUUUUCGCAUUGGGUUCUUCCUGCUGACAUAGGCCAUCAAUAUGAUAAACAGCAGUGGAAUGAGAGCUGACCCCAGUGCAGUCUGACUUGCACUUCAAAGGGCUUGUCGUUCCAAUACAUGUUCAGAUCACUGUUGUAGGUGAUGUAUAUAGUGCAUUUGCCAUAAAUAUUAAAUCCUCAGACACUCCAUAUUUCCUCAGCAUUGGUGUGAGCAUCCUUGUGUCCACUUUUUGACAAACACAUCUAUCAAAAACAUCUUGAAGUUUUGAAAAAUGACAUUUUGCAAGCAGCUAGUAUCUAAAGGGAACAUCAGUCCUUGGUGCAAAGUCGAAGUUGCUGGAGUACUUAUCAAGUGGUGACACCAGGCUGGUCCCAAGCACGUGUGAGCCAUUUGGCUGCACAUGGUACCCCUUGCCCUUCGCAGCCAAAGCAUUGGGCUAGAGGUGAUGGCUAGGAAGAGAGAGCAUGUGAGACAGCAGGAGCCACAUUAAGGUGAAUGAGUUGCCUUGGGUAGAACAAGCAGCAGGGGCAGAUCCACAUUGUUGCAGGGUAGGUUGGAGAGUUAUGAAAUUGGCAUCCCCAUAAGUGAUUCUUCUACUUCUUCUGAAACUGGUUAAGACCAGCACUAUGGUGACCUCAUUGCUGUUAUUUUGGAAUGUAACCUUUAGUUCUUUGCUGAGCUUUUCCUAGUUACCCUGCAUGCACUAUAGAGACAAGCUACCCCAUUCUCCUGCCUAUUUGAACUUCCUACUUAUUCUGAGUGUCCCCAGCUUGUCCACGACAGGGGAAUUCCAUCUAUUGCCAACUCCCUGGCAGAAGGAAGAUUGCUGAUUACAAUGGCAAUAUUUAGGUGAGGGCAGAAAUAGGACUAAAGGGACAAAAUUUAAAAACUAGCUCUUUAAUAAAAGACCUGGAUCUUGUAAUUCUACCCGCUUCAAAGGAGUCCCCAGGAAGAGGCAAACACCAAGGAGAACAGGCUUUCGCCUGAGAACACAGGCUUUCCCAUCCUUCCUGUCACAAGAUCCUAGGACAACUGAGACUCUGGGAACCUAAGUGGGACCUGAUUGCACCAAUGUAAGGAAGCUGCCCCAGACUUAUCAUGUAUGAUGCACUUAUUGUGUAACGUAUUAUAAAAGCACCCAGUAUGGAACCAAAACUCUGUAUUGUCUUCCAUGAACUGUGGCUUGCGUAGAAACUCUUAGUUGUAAAAGCUAUGCUACAUAUCCACUUCUAAAAAAUAUACCUUUUAAGGUAUGAGGCAGCUAAAGCCUCAGGUCUUAAAGCCUCCAGAUUUUGACAGCAGUCAAAUCCAAACAGAUUCAAACUUUAUGUCUGGCCAGUCUCUGUAAUGAGUAGAAUAAAAAACCUGGAUCAGGACACCAUGUUCAAACCUCUGUAAAACGUGGAUCCAUCUCAGAAUAGCUCAGGCUCAUCUCUACUUCUUUAGCACAACAAUAUUUGGGAUAUUUGUCAAGGUGAUUCCUAAUUUUAGGAGGUUUUUUUUUUCCAAAUUCCACCCCAGAAUUAUGAUAAAGAGCGAUCUUCCUUUCCCUGGAUAGACUGCAAAAAAUUAUCUCUGGUCAUGAUAAAUGGUCAUAACUCAGAACUAGGCAGAAUUAGGACUAGUGCUUCCUGAUUGUUUUGCAUUUGUAAUAUUAAAACUUUUUUAAAAAGUAAGUGUUGCCUGAUGUAGCAGUAAUGAAGAGACUGCCAAGCAUGUGUUCAAAUAUGUAUAGAGUAUGCACUAUUAUAUGUAAUCUGAUGGAAGAUACAGUCUGUAACUUAUCUGAGUAUUAGUGUUCACUACAUAUUUGUUUUGCUAUCUUUCAUUUUUACUUUGCAAUGAAAUAAAAAUACUUGCACAACUGAUUUUAAUCUGUCUCUGAAUAUUACAAAUACAAACUAUUAUGUAAUUAGCCACAAUAAGAUGUGUGCAGUUGUGGGUGUGGUGGGUUUGUAGAUUGAAUGCCAACACUCAUCUAGGUAUGGAGUUGUAAAAUUACACAAUAAUUUACACCCUGGGUAAGUGCUGUAAUUAUAUUUUACAUUAAAAUAAGUUAUGUUAACAAAACAGAACACACUCUUUUUGUCUUCCCACUGAAGUAGAUCAUAGCAGAGGAUUAUGAUAACAGUAUUACCUGGAUAUAGCAUCUUUCAUCUGCAAAGGACCCAAUAGUACUUUACCAACAUAAAUGUGAUACAGAAACAACACACAAAGAUCACUUCAUCCACCAGUGAAAUGAAGCCACCCCAGGGUGGAAAUGCCGCAAAUGCUGAAUAAUACACAGCAAUACUACACAACAGUUUUAUGCAGGAAGUGAAGAUCACCAUGUCCAAUUGAAACUGCUGGAGAAUUUUAAAUAGGCUGAGUGUAAUUACCUUGGUUAGAAUUUGGCCUGGACCCUGGAAUUUAUAAUCCUCUAUCUCUCAAAAAGUUUCCGGAGACUGAACUCCUCGGUACAGUAAAAAAAACGUUGAAAUUUCACCAGAUUUACUACAUUUUAAUGACUGAAAUAUUCUGCAAGCUUUGGGAUCCUGAAACCUUUGAGGAAACAUAGCGCCACACUAUGAAUCCAAUGUUUCUCUGUUGUGUUUACCCCAGAGUUUCUGGGUUAUAAUGAGCAGAAGUGCUCAAGUGCAAGAGAAUUUGUUAGCCAACAUCUGGAGAACAAGUGACUUCUGGUAGGAUGCUUUAGAUAUGUGCUCUGUGAACCCAUAAUAAUUUCUGACACAGGGCAAAAGUCUUCUCUGGCCCAAGUGCAAAUCUCUGGCACAUUUAUCACUUGUUCAACAUGUGGUACUUCUAUUAACAUGGAUGGGCAUUCUAUCUAUCCAUCUUCAGAUUAUGCAAUAGAGAUCUGCAAGACAGAUAAGAGAUCAACAGUGCAGAUCAAAAAGGUGAACUUCUAAACUCCAGUUUAGAUCAUACUUGUACCCUUGUGUCUCUGUGAAUUGUUCUGUUUAGUUACAGUAUUUUCUCUCUUUUGAUAUGGCUCCAAGGUGAAGAAACCAACAGAAGAUUGAUUAUGGCAAAAACUGCAACAGCAAAAAAAAUCACCCAAAACACCUGCUCAUUGUAAAUGUAAAACCCAGGUCCUGGACCUGGGCCUUUUCCUCUACAUGGGUGGGGUAGAUGAGUUGCUGUCUGAGGAUAAAGAAAGAAGAUGAUUUUAUCUCUGCAUAUUCAACUCUGAAGAUCUUGAAUGUGGUUUAGUGGGGUAAUAAAGUUAUUCCUGAUCAAGCUGAACUGCUGUCAGGAAAUGUAUGCAGAGAUGUUAAGGAAACUUCAGAAGAAAACUGCAGAUUCUGGAAGAAUUAGCAGCACAGACAAAUAAGUUAAAAAUUAGUGACAAUUAAUUCUAAUUUGUUAGAAAAAAUGACUCUUGCUAAAUAAAACAUCGACAAUUGCAAGACCGCUUCCAGUUUCUCCACAAUAAUAUUGGCUUAUUGGAGAGUCAGGAGAUUCUCAAAGAAGUUAAUUUGGUCAAAUACUUAAGGAAUUUGCUAUCUUUGUUUGAAUUAAUUAAUCUACUGUCAAGGUAGGUGCACAUCAUCUUUCCACAUCUGCAGCCACUGAGGCUCCCAUGAUCAUGGGGAAUCUAUUAAUGUGUAAUGUAUUGUAUUUACUGCCCGUAGUCUAGUGUUGCAUUAUGUGGAGGACAAGCUGCUUCGUAUUGAAUGAGAGCUCUUUGGAAAUAACACCUUGAGCCUCCUGGGAAACCCCUGUGUCUCUCAGUCUAUCUCAAACAUGAGUGGGCCAUAUCUCAGUUUCCCUCCUUGUUCUAUUUAACAGGAAAUCUCUAUUUGUUAUUUCCCAAAUCGCCUUCCCCACUCCCUCUCAAAACACAAAAAAACAAUUCUGGAUAUCUUGAUCUGAUUCCAGUCUCAUUUAGGGCCUGAUCCAAAGCCCAUUGAAGUCAAUGGGAAAUACUUCAAUGGGUUUUAUAUCAGAUGCUUAAACUGAUUUCACACCAAUGUAAAUCCACUGAUCUAAAUUGAGUUACUCCUGAUUAAAGCUGAUGUAAGUGAGAAGAGGAUCAGGCCUGUAAACAAUCCCUGACGGCAACUAUUGGACUGAAUCUACCCUGUCACCAAAUCAGGUAUAUUGUAGGUACUUGGGACAGGACUGAUUGAACCAACAUAGAAUAGAUCAUAGAAUAUCAGGGUUGGAAGGGACCUCAAGAGGUCAUCUAGUCCAACCCUCUGCUCAAAGCAGGACCAAGCCCCAAUUUUUGCUCCAGAUCCCUAAAUGGCCCCCUCAAGGAUUGAACUCACAACCCUGGGUUUAGCAGGCCAAUGCUCAAACCACUGAGCUAUCCCUCCCCCAACCCCAACCCUGUCUACUAGAUCUAUCGAUGCAGAAAAUGCUCACCUGUACUCCUGUAUUGCUACCUCUGGGCAGCUUGACACAAGUUACACUUUCUUUUGCUUCUUGAAUGUUUGAGAUGUACAUUUAAUUGCGAUCUGGGCCUGCUGUGAUAAGACUCUGAACUUGAACAUUUUUGAGAAGGUUUUGGUCUUCCCAGAUGACCCUCCAAACCCCAUAAAAGCUGUAACAACUACUCGUCAUUAUAAAAUGAAUAACAGCAACUGCCUCCGUGAGAACUACCACCAAAGGGUGUAGACGCUGAGCCUUCAGGCCAGAGUAAUCUCCAUUGGCUGCCAGUAGUUCCAGGGGGAUGUUAUGGCAGCCAGGGACUGUCAGUGGCAAGGGAAUCUCUACCCCAGUCACAAGGAGUGGUGUGACAGAGGAGCUGUUUUGUUAGCUGUAUGCCACCUCAGGCUACCCCUCUGCAGGGAAGAGCCUGCUGGAGCUGGACCUACUUUGUGCUGCUGCUAAGGUGCAAAGUAGCCAGAGGGCAGCCCAGAAGAAGGGCCUGUAAUAGAAACCAUGCUAAUUGUAUAGAUACAUAAUGGUUAAUGGUGGCUAAACCGAGGGUAGGGAUGUAGAUGGGGGCAACAGGAAAAUGUUAGCUGGUUGUUAAGAUGGGAUUAAGUUUUAAAUAUGAUUUCAGCUGUUAGAGAGGCAGAUGGUUCUGUUACUAAUGAUCCCUUACUUGAAGAGCAGACUUAUAAACACCUCUAUAAAUCUGCAGUUGUAGAAGUUAAUAAAAAAUAGAGCAUUCAGUUGCACAAUGGGAAGUCAGUAGGUUAGCAGACGGGGAUAUUCUUUCAAACUGGGUAUGACUCCAAGACAGUUUAGGAUGUUAAUCAAGGUUGAAGCCUUGUGCCUUUCUGACCUAACGUGAUAUUCAUACAAAGCUUACUGACAUGAUGUUCAGCUUUCAUGUCAGAAAGGGUCUUUGCUUGAGAUUUUUAAGUUUGCGUUCAGUUUUGAUAUUCAAAGAAAAAUCAGUUCCUCCCAACUUCAUAUAGAACAACGCCUUUAUUCAGCUCUGAAUGGAAAAUUCAUGCUCAGAUACUGUCUAUGUGUGCUAUACUACUGCAGCUGUAGCAUGGGGCCCAACCAGGCCUGUGCAGCCUGCCUUGUUUCCAUGACACAAAGAGCCUACGUGUGUCCUCCUCUGACACAGCCCCUAGCCUUUCCCAGUUCAUAGUGUCCAGAACUCUGCCCCAUGUGGGUUGUGAAAGAUGAUGUUGUGUGGGAGCUGAGAGUCCAUGUCUCCCCUAAGGUCUGGGAGAGGGGGCAGGCUCAUGCUGACUGAUUGACAGUCAGCCACCGAAGCACCUUAAAUGGAUGUGGGUCCCCUUGUGCACCACCCAGUCUGUCUUACAGCUUUGAAAUGGCUGGUUGAAGAGGCUGUUCCCCCACUGUCCCAGAGAGGAAAUGAUUUUUGUCCUAAACCUACAGAGCUUUCCAGUCCCUCUCGCUCGCUCUCUGUCACUCUCUUUUACCCACCACAACAGCUGUUCAGAGGUUACUGCAGCCUGUAAUAACCUCCACAGGACAUGAACAGGAAGAGCAAUGUUUGGGGAUCUGUGGUGCAGGCAGGAAGCUGAUUUACUUGAGCUUCUUUACUCCCUGAGCCACUCAGUACUGCAUUUCUCCUGUGCCCUCCUUUACAGCCAAUGCCAACCAUCCCCAGGACUGGUCAGCCCAGGGCAUAAUCAGUGGGAAACAACUACGGUGCCCAUCUCCGACAUAUAAAGCAGGUCCAGAGUUUGGCCCCGUGAAAUGUGAGAAAACAAUAGUUUCGAUUAUCCAUAUGGAUCAAUCUGGAUUUAUUCCAGACUGCUUCAUUAAUAGCAAUCAAAGGCAUCACUUUAAUGGAUUUUUUAUCCUCAAAAUUAAGAUCAUGAGGAAUUUGUUCCAGCUAUUGAUUUUGAAAAGGCUUUUGAUUCUCUUCAAUAGCCUUAACUUAUUUCAGAUUUAGAUAGCAGGAGGAUUUGGCCUCAAAUACAUUAAAUGGGUCAGUCUUCUUUAUUGAAAUCCACAGUUAUAUUAAAACAAAUUAUCCCAGUUUGGAUAGGAUUUAUAUAUUGUGGCCUUGGACAAGGAGGGUCGCUUUGCCCUAAUACUUUUUGCUAUUGCACUGGAGCCUUUCGCUCUUUGUUUUAGGAGGCAUCAGUAUUUUUCAGGGGCAAAAUCAGUUGAUAUGUCUCAGAGUAUCUCUAUGUAGAGCCGUGUAGAGAAGAUGUUAAUUUAUAAUUAAAAAAAAAACAAGAUUAUGGAUGUUUUGCAGGAAAUUACCGCGUGUUCAAGUUUAUUAUUUGUUAAUUGGGGUAAACUCUUAAAGCCAUUAGGCGAUUUAAAUGUAGUUCUAUUUGAGCAAUAUCCUUUAUUGGAUCCCCCAUUAUCCUUUAAAUAUCUUGGUGUGCGAGAGGAUAAAAUUAGAAAGAAUUUGUUUGCUCUAAAUUGCCAGCCUCUGCUUGAUAAAACUAUUAGCUAUUUAGCUAAUUGGACGGAUCUUCCAUUAUCAUUAAUUGGCAGAAUUAAUACAAUUAAAAUGGUGGCUUUAUCUAAAUGUUUGUGUUUAUUUCAGUGUAUCCCCGUCAUGUUCCAUAACAUGUUUGGAAAGCCUUAAACUCUGCAAUUAAUUCUCUUUUAGGGGGUUAAAGGUAAAAUUAAGAUUAAUUUUGAAACUCUGCAACUUCUCUUAGAGUCAGCUGGAGUGGUUCACUUCAUAUUCAUUUAUUUAUUUAUUUUGGCUGCACAUUAUAGUAUGUUGUUGCAUGAUUUAGACAAUCCCCAGUUAGGCAGAGCAAAAUCAAAGAGCAUCAAACCAACAUCUCCUGUUCUGCAGCCGUACUUGAUACACUUGCUCUUCUAGGGCUGGAUCCUGCAAGCGGCUAGGCACCCUGCCCAAGAAAGCACUUAAACAUGUGCUUAACUUUAAGUACAUGUGUAAACCCAUUGAAGUCAAUAGAUUAGUCAUAUAGUUUAAGUUACGCAUGUGCUUUAACGCUUUGCUGUACUGGGGCCAGCAAGUUAAGUUUGCAGGACUGAGCCUCAAUUACUGUUGCUAGCUCCCCUGGUGGACUGGCAGACAAAUGUGUAUCAGUGUGCACACACUUUGCCCAUGUUCUCCUCUCAUGAUUUCUUUUAAAUUUGGCUAAACUUUUUGUGCCUGAUUUUUAAGGGGUUUCUACCCCCUUUUUUUUUUUUUAGCACAAAUUAUCCCGGCAAAAAUUGUAUUUGCAUGGUUUGCACCCACAGUUCUUUGUGGGCACCUCUUAUUUUGGAUGGAUUCAUACCUGGUUGCAAGUGCAAAUUGGGUACUUUCCUCUCUAAAUGGCAAGGUUAUCCAUGGGUGAAAAAAAUGUGUGGCCACAAGUACAGUAAGGGAAAAUUGCACUCUCAGAAACAGAGGCUGUCCUUUGACAGUCUGGCCAGGUAUUUCCAAGAUUAUUCCUGCUGAUGUGCCUUCUACGCUGGUGAGAAGAGGUGAUGGAGUAGCUAUGCCAGCUCUUCACUGUCCAGAGGUUCUCCCGUAUCAGAAGGAGCCUCAUCCAGCAAGGUUCACUGGCUUUAAAACUGAUGUGCAUCAACAGACUUCCACAAAGCGGAUUUGGAGGACCCAAAAUCAGGCCCAGCAUUGCAGGCAUGACUCCAAUAAACACAGCUAAUAAUGAGUAGGGAGUCUGAGUCAGUGACACCUAUAACGUCUGGGUUCUUCUGUGGCUCCUAAGAACCAUACCGUGGGGGAGGUAGCUCUAGGGGCAUUCUGGAGUGGCAUCCUCUAUGUGCAUGAAUCUCAAAAGGAGGUGCUAUUUACUUUUGAUGAAGAAAUCUCCCACAUCAGCAGCUUCUGUGUAUCAAAAACCCACCUGAGUGGGACAGGAUAACUUAAGGGCUCUGCAAGGAGCUACAAGGCCGUUUCACUCUGAGUUACCAAUUCAAAUCCAGCCAAGUUUGGUACCAAGUGAACUGGAAAUGAAGAAUCCUAUGAACCACUACAGCCUGGGGACCUACUGGCUAAGCAGCAGUUCUGCAGAAAAGGACCUGGGGAUUACAGUGGACGAGAAGCUGGAUAUGAGUCAGCAGUGUGCCCUUGUUGCCAAGAAGGCCAACGGCAUAUUGGGCUG